GGCUCCGUGGCUUAAUGGCAACGGCCUCUGCCUUAUAAGCAGAAGGUUCAGGGAUCAAAUCCCGGCCGGUACCU
This is a non-coding RNA of Culex pipiens (northern house mosquito), 74 nucleotides long. The record is from Rfam. Lineage: Eukaryota; Metazoa; Arthropoda; Insecta; Diptera; Culicidae.